Molecule: ribosomal RNA, 119 nt
Filed under: Pteropus alecto (black flying fox)
Lineage: Eukaryota; Metazoa; Chordata; Mammalia; Chiroptera; Pteropodidae
Also listed under: 1 other name
Source: RNAcentral
AUCUACGGCCAUGCCACCCUGAACAAGCCCGAACCCGUCUGAUCUCCUAAGCUAAGCAGGGUCAGGACUGGUUAGUACUUGGAUGGGAGACCGUCUAGGAAGACCAGGUGCUGUAGAUG